GACGAACGCUGGCGGCGCGUCUAAGACAUGCAAGUCGUGCGAUUAAAGCUCCCUUCGGGGAGUGUAUAAAGCGGCGGACGGGUGAGUAACACGUAGCUAACCUACCCUACGGACUGGGAUAACGGCGCGAAAGUGCCGCUAAUACUGGAUAAGACAUACGGUCUAUCCGACCGUAUGUGAAAGCGGGCUUUGUUCCGCACCGUUGGAGGGGGCUGCGGCCUAUUAGCUUGUUGGUGAGGUAACGGCCCACCAAGGCAACAAUGGGUAGCUGAUCUGAGAGGAUGGUCAGCCACACUGGGACUGAGACACGGCCCAGACUCCUACGGGAGGCUG
This 333-nucleotide ribosomal RNA is filed under the name uncultured Spirochaetota bacterium. Its description in RNAcentral is "bacterial SSU rRNA". It matches the Rfam family "Bacterial small subunit ribosomal RNA", at positions 28 to 351 of the family's 1533-position model. The record is from RNAcentral. Lineage: Bacteria; Pseudomonadati; Spirochaetota.